This 492-nucleotide ribosomal RNA is filed under the name uncultured bacterium. RNAcentral describes it as "partial 16S ribosomal RNA". It matches the Rfam family "Bacterial small subunit ribosomal RNA", at positions 29 to 507 of the family's 1533-position model. The record is from RNAcentral.
AGUGAACGCUGGCGGUAGGCCUAACACAUGCAAGUCGAACGGCAGCACAGUAAGAGCUUGCUCUUACGGGUGGCGAGUGGCGGACGGUUGAGGAAUACAUCGGAAUCUACUUUUUCUUGGGUGAGAACGUAGGGAAACUUACGCUAAUACCGCAUACGACCUACGGGUGAAAGCAGGGGAUCUUCGGACCUUGCGCGAUUGAAUGAGCCGAUGUCGGAUUAGCUAGUUGGCGGGGUAAAGGCCCACCAAGGCGACGAUCCGUAGCUGGUCUGAGAGGAUGAUCAGCCACACUGGAACUGAGACACGGUCCAGACUCCUACGGGAGGCAGCAGUGGGGAAUAUUGGACAAUGGGCGCAAGCCUGAUCCAGCCAUACCGCGUGGGUGAAGAAGGCCUUCGGGUUGUAAAGCCCUUUUGUUGGGAAAGAAAAGCAGCAAGUUAAUACCCCGCUGUUCUGACGGUACCCACAGAAUAAGCACCGGCUAACUUCGUG